RNAcentral lists this ribosomal RNA (81 nucleotides) under Clostridioides difficile. Lineage: Bacteria; Bacillati; Bacillota; Clostridia; Peptostreptococcales; Peptostreptococcaceae. RNAcentral also lists the same sequence under 3 other names. The record is from RNAcentral.
UGUGGUUACAAUAGCAGAGAGGAUACACCUGUUCCCAUUCCGAACACAGAAGUUAAGCUCUCUAGCGCUGAUGGUACUUGG